Molecule: non-coding RNA, 121 nt
Organism: Picea glauca (white spruce)
Lineage: Eukaryota; Viridiplantae; Streptophyta; Pinopsida; Pinales; Pinaceae
Source: Rfam
ACAUGACUAUAGCAUAGUGUUAAUGCACCGGAUCCCAUUAGAACUCCGUAGUUAAGCACACUCAGACUAGAGUAGUACUAGGAUGGGUGACUUCCCAGGGAGUGCUAGUAUUUUACAUGCC